This 253-nucleotide ribosomal RNA is filed under the name uncultured bacterium. Its description in RNAcentral is "partial 16S ribosomal RNA". It matches the Rfam family "Bacterial small subunit ribosomal RNA", at positions 524 to 776 of the family's 1533-position model. The record is from RNAcentral.
UACGUAGGGGGCAAGCGUUGUCCGGAUUUAUUGGGCGUAAAGAGCGUGUAGGCGGCCAGGUAGGUCCGCUGUGAAAACUCGAGGCUUAACCUCGAGAUGUCGGUGGAAACCAUCUGGCUAGAGUCCGGAAGAGGAGAGUGGAAUUCCUGGUGUAGCGGUGAAAUGCGUAGAGAUCGGGAGGAACACCAGAGGCGAAAGCGGCGACCUGGACAAGUACUGACACUCAACUACGAAAGCGUGGGGAGCAAACAGG